GAUGAACGCUAGCUGGAGGCUUAAUACAUGCAAGUCGAGCGGGAUUGGUAGCAAUACCAUGAGAGCGGCGCACGGGUGAGUAACGCGUACACGACCUACCUCUGACAGGGGGAUAGCCCUGGGAAACUGGGAUUAAUACCGCAUAUUAUUCUGAUUAAUAAAGGAUUGGAAUGAAAGUUCAGGCGGUCAGAGAUGGGUGUGCGUCUGAUUAGCUAGUUGGUAGGGUAACGGCCUACCAAGGCGAUGAUCAGUAGGGGGCGUGAGAGCGUGGUCCCCCACACGGGUACUGAGACACGGACCCGACUCCUACGGGAGGCAGCAGUAAGGAAUAUUGGACAAUGGCCGAAAGGCUGAUCCAGCCAUCCAGCGUGCAGGAAGAAGGCUCUAUGGGUUGUAAACUGCUUUUGAAUGGGAAGAACACCAGAUACGAGUAUCUGUCUGCCGGUACCAUACGAAUAAGGAUCGGCUAACUCCGUGCCAGCAGCCGAC
Molecule: ribosomal RNA, 489 nt
Filed under: uncultured bacterium
Lineage: Bacteria
Description: bacterial SSU rRNA
Rfam family: Bacterial small subunit ribosomal RNA
Source: RNAcentral